This is an RNA transcript of Juglans microcarpa x Juglans regia, 2291 nucleotides long. It is a transcript of the gene named cyclic dof factor 3-like, with no coding region annotated. The record is from RefSeq and is a predicted model, not a curated record. The transcript has 3 exons. Lineage: Eukaryota; Viridiplantae; Streptophyta; Magnoliopsida; Fagales; Juglandaceae.
AGGAGAUGUUUCUGUAUACGAAAAGCUUAGGGCGGUUUGAAGUUGAGUUUCUCUGUUUCAUUACCUAUGGAGCAUUUUUGAGACAUUUUGACACUUGAGAGUUGAGACUCAUUAAGUUUCCCACCUGAGGAGGCAUGUCUCAAGUGAGAGAUCCGGCCAUUAAGCUUUUCGGGAGGAAUAUUCCGGUAGCUGACUCUCGGAUUCCCUCGGUUUCCGAACAAGGCUCCGGCUCAGAACUUCAGUCUCCGGCAAUUCCUUUAGUCACGGAUAUUCCUUCUGAGAUAGAUAAUAAAAAAGAUACCAAAAACCAAAAUCCCUUAAAAGAGAAUGAGGCCAAAGUAGAUCAUAAUCCUGAGGAAGACCGAGCUGCUAAAAAUGAUGCAAGUGGCCAAGAGAAGGUUUUAAGGAAGCCAAACAAGGUUCUCCCUUGUCCUCGCUGCACUAGCCUGGAGACAAAGUUUUGCUAUUUCAACAACUACAAUGUAAACCAACCUAGACAUUUUUGCAAGAAUUGCCAGAGAUAUUGGACAGCUGGAGGAACAAUUAGAAGUGUUCCUGUCGGGGCUGGAAAGCGCAAGAAUAAGCCUUCAGAGUACCAUCAAGUAGUGGUGCCAUCUAAUGUAAUACCAGUCACCAAAGCAGACAGCCUUAACUCUGCUAGCGACCAGCAUCCCUCAUGUCUUGAACUUCCUGCCUCUUUAAGACUUGACAAAGGAACAGGAGCAGUUCUAAAUAUUAGCAAAGAUGCUCCACCAUGUGAAUCCAUGUCAACUGUGCUCAAUCUCAAAGAACAAAAGAAAAAUGUUGAAAUUUGGCCUUUGGUUUCUGAGGAGAGUAGCGAGGAGCCCUUAUCAUCUGGCUCUUCCUUCACAGCUGCUACUUCCCACGAAAGUGAAUCUCCAGGACAUUGCAACAGUUUCAAUUUAACUCGUCCACUUCUGUGUUACCCUUUUUCCCAAUGUGCACGCCAUUGGAACCCAGGUUCGAAUGCACUGGUGUUUGGACCUAGUAGUAGUAUCUCUAAUACUGGUCAUAUGGGUUCUUCGCCUAUGGUGCCAGUUCCUGGCUUCUGUGAACCAACAUUCCCACCUCUUCCUGUGCCAUACUGGGGUUGCAUGCCAAGCUGGGAUGCCAGGAAGUGGAAUAAACAGUUGGUCAGAUCUAAUGGCAGCCCUUCAGUUUCAUCUCCUACUAGCAACAGCAGCUGUUCAGGUAAUAACUCACUGAUCUUGGGAAAGCAUUCAAGGGAUGCAAAUUCACUGGCUGAAGAAACAAGGGAACAGAGCCUUUGGGUACCUAAGACACUGAGAGUUACUCAUCCGGAAGAGGCUGCAAAGAGUUCCAUAUGGUCUACUUUGGGUAUUGAGCCUGACAAGGACAAAUCCAGCAUCAGAGGUGGCAUUUUUAAAGCUUCCCAAUCCAAAUCAAAUACAAAUUCUCAUUCAUCAGAUGCUGAUAAGGUCUUAAAAGCAAACCCAGUGGCUUUUUGUCGAUGUCAAUCAUUUCAGGAAAGCACUUAAAGAAGCUCAUGUUGUGUGUAUAUGGAUAUCAUCUUUUGGUGGUCUGUCCAUGCAUUGUGAAAGCCUAUGUUGUAUGAAGUGCACAAGAGUUUUAUAAUUUCUGCAUCUGUUUUUGCUAUGCCCUGAGAUCAUAUGGUUUGUAAGAUGACCAGUGGCUUGUGGGACUUCUCUUGAUCUUGUGUUUUCUUAGUAAACAAGCAUUACAAAAGAAUAACAUGCAAGCCUCUUGCCUAGAAGAAAAGGAUCCAGAGAGAAUUUUCAGUCAUUCGUUUUGGGCUUUAUUUGUAGAUGAAAGCUAUCCACAUCACCACCAACCGUUAAUGGUAAUGGCUCCGAAUUUUUGUGCUGUGAUGAUGGCCAAUGCCAAUUGUUUGGCUCUCAUACCUCUAAGUGAUAGAUUGCAUUUGCAUGCCAUGUUUGAUUACAUGAAGAAAGAGACUUCUCAUUAUUCAAGAAUACAUCACUUUGAGGAGUACUCCAACUCCAAGUUUCAAGGAGGAUGUCACAGCUCAGUCUUCAUUGUACUAAGUGUCACAGCUCUAUGAAUCCUAAAUCUGUGUGGCGGCAAACUGAGAAUUCCAAAGAACAUUUUCAAGACAGAGGCCUAUCCAUCAGAUGGUGUGCUAGACAGCACCUGAUAUGCAUGUCCCCAUCAUAGCCUUCAAUGAUUAGUCUGAGCUCUCCUUCUGAAUUGCCGGAUCAGCGAUACUGCCUCGAGAUGUAUCGUCAAAGGUUAUGUUGUGAAAAAGAUGACAGCAGAGCAAAAAUAAA